GACGGAGGAUGCAAGUGUUAUCCGGAAUCACUGGGCGUAAAGCGUCUGUAGGUGGUUUAAUAAGUCAACUGUUAAAUCUUGAGGCUCAACCUCAAAAUCGCAGUCGAAACUAUUAGGCUAGAGUAUAGUAGGGGUAAAGGGAAUUUCCAGUGAGCGGUGAAAUGCGUAGAGAUUGGAAAAGAACACCGAUGGCGAAGGCACUUUACUGGGCUAUUACUAACACUCAGAGACGAAAGCUAGGGUAGCAAAUGGG
This 253-nucleotide ribosomal RNA is filed under the name uncultured bacterium. Its description in RNAcentral is "partial 16S ribosomal RNA". It matches the Rfam family "Bacterial small subunit ribosomal RNA", at positions 524 to 776 of the family's 1533-position model. The record is from RNAcentral.